GAUGAACGCUGGCGGCGUGCCUAAUACAUGCAAGUCGAGCGAACAGACGAGGAGCUUACUCCUCUGACGUUAGCGGCGGACGGGUGAGUAACACGUGGAUAACCUACCUAUAAGACUGGGAUAACUUCGGGAAACCGGAGCUAAUACCGGAUAACAUGUUGAACCGCAUGGUUCAACAGUGAAAGACGGUCUUGCUGUCACUUAUAGAUGGAUCCGCGUCGCAUUAGCUAGUUGGUAAGGUAACGGCUUACCAAGGCAACGAUGCGUAGCCGACCUGAGAGGGUGAUCGGCCACACUGGAACUGAGACACGGUCCAGACUCCUACGGGAGGCAGCAGUAGGGAAUCUUCCGCAAUGGGCGAAAGCCUGACGGAGCAACGCCGCGUGAGUGAAGAAGGUCUUCGGAUCGUAAAACUCUGUUAUUAGGGAAGAACAAAUGUGUAAGUAACUAUACACGUCUUGACGGUACCUAAUCAGAAAGCCACGGCUAACUACGUG
RNAcentral lists this ribosomal RNA (497 nucleotides) under uncultured bacterium. RNAcentral describes it as "partial 16S ribosomal RNA". It matches the Rfam family "Bacterial small subunit ribosomal RNA", at positions 28 to 507 of the family's 1533-position model. The record is from RNAcentral.